GUACGUUCUACAAUAGCCUUAGCUUUCAUGAUUUCAACUCCAAUCAAUUCCAGCCAUUCAUAUUGAGCUGAAUCUCCCGGUAAUUUGCAAGCAUUGCAAAACCAGUCACAAAUAUCACAAGGAGGGUACUUCGCAUCAGCCAUAGGUUGAGAAAGAAAUAGAAAACCUAAAGAAAAAAGGAUUAUUAUUUUCUCCAUCUUUUGUGAUGUUUCUCAAAUAGAGAAGAAACUUCAGCUUUUAUACGGAUGUAAGUAUUAAGAAUUCGUGCCCUACUGAUUUUCUUAUUUUCGCCUAACUUUUGCUUAUCGAUGGAAUGUGUUGCCUGACGUGUUCCACUGACGUGUUUCAAGGAAGCAGUAAACAGAAAGUAAAGAACACAAUGAUUUUUACGUGGAAAACACCCGGCUCAAAAGGUGUAAAAAAACCACGACCUGCACCUCUACAGGAUUUAACCCCAACUUCACUAAAUAACUCUGAGCCUCAACAACGGCUGAUUGCAAAACUCUUGUAACCAACAAAAUAGGAAUUAUAAACUCUAAUCCCUAUAACUCAACAACUAGGAAUUAUAAACUCUAAUCCUUAUAACUCAACAACUAGGAAUCAUAAACUCUAAUUCCUAACUACACACGCACCUCCCAAGGUAAGUGUUCCCAAAGUCUCUGAGUUUUCCCCAACUCUAAGACUAGCUCCUAAUUCAGUUUAUAACACACUGAAACUAAUAUUACAUGAAUAGCUCAAACACAAUGAAUAACUCUAAAAAUCAAAGCUAAAACUCUUAGCUGUAUUCUGCACGUAGGACCAGGUUCUUCAAUGUGUUUCUUCAGUGGUUGAGUAGCACUUUCGUGAUUUCAAUUUGUAGAUUGUACUUUUCUGCUUUGU
This 879-nucleotide long non-coding RNA is filed under the name Capsicum annuum. Its description in RNAcentral is "long non-coding RNA (CANN_LNC000095)". Lineage: Eukaryota; Viridiplantae; Streptophyta; Magnoliopsida; Solanales; Solanaceae. The record is from RNAcentral.